AGAAUCAACGCUGGCGGCGUGCCUCAGACAUGCAAGUCGAACGCGAAAGUCCCCCUUCGGGGGGCAAGUAGAGUGGCGCACGGGUGAGUAACACGUAGGUAAUCUACCUUUGGAUGGGGAAUAACAAUCGGAAACGAUUGCUAAUACCGCAUAAUGCAGCGGCACCUAAUGGUGACAGUUGUUAAAGCGGGGGAUCGAAAGACCUCGCGUCUGAAGAGGAGCCUGCGGCGGAUUAGCUAGUUGGUAAGGUAAUGGCUUACCAAGGCUACGAUCCGUAACCGGCCUGAGAGGGGCGGUCGGUCACACUGACAC
This 312-nucleotide ribosomal RNA is filed under the name uncultured soil bacterium. RNAcentral describes it as "bacterial SSU rRNA". It matches the Rfam family "Bacterial small subunit ribosomal RNA", at positions 26 to 319 of the family's 1533-position model. The record is from RNAcentral.